RNAcentral lists this ribosomal RNA (262 nucleotides) under uncultured prokaryote. RNAcentral's name for it is "partial 16S ribosomal RNA". It matches the Rfam family "Bacterial small subunit ribosomal RNA", at positions 917 to 1178 of the family's 1533-position model. The record is from RNAcentral.
GGGCCCGCACAAGCAGCGGAGCAUGUGGUUUAAUUCGAAGCAACGCGAAGAACCUUACCAGGGCUUGACAUCCCCCUGACCGGUGCAGAGAUGCAUCUUUUCUUCGGAACAGGGGAGACAGGUGGUGCAUGGUUGUCGUCAGCUCGUGUCGUGAGAUGUUGGGUUAAGUCCCGCAACGAGCGCAACCCCUAUCUUCAGUUGCCAGCAGGUAAAGCUGGGGACUCUGGAGAGACCGCCGGGGACAACUCGGAGGAAGGUGGGG